AUUGAACGCUGGCGGCAUGCUUAACACAUACAAGUCGAACGGAAACGAUGGAAGCUUGCUUCUAGGCGUCGAGUGGCGGACGGGUGCGUAACGCGUAGGAAUCUGCCCUAUUGAGGGGGAUAAGCCAGAGAAAUUUGGUCUAAUACCGCAUAACCUCUACGGAGCAAAGUUGGCCUCUCCAUGGAAGCUAGCGCUGUUGGAUGAGCCUGCGUUGGAUUAGCUAGUUGGUAAGGUAAAGGCUUACCAAGGCAACGAUCCAUAGCUGGUUUGAGAGGAUGAUCAGCCACAUCGGGACUGAGACACGGCCCGGACUCCUACGGGAGGCAGCAGUGGGGAAUAUUGGACAAUGGGCGCAAGCCUGAUCCAGCAAUACCGCGUGUGUGAAGAAGGCCUGCGGGUUGUAAAGCACUUUCAAUAGUGAAGAAAAGUUUAGUGUAAAUAAUGCUACGCUGUGACGUGAUCUAUAGAAGAAGCACCGGCUAACUCCGUGCCAGCAGCCGCGGUAAUACGGAGGGUGCAAGCGUUAAUCGGAAUCACUGGGCGUAAAGCGUGCGUAGGCGGCUCAUUAAGUCAGAUGUGAAAGCCCAGGGCUUAACCUUGGAAUUGCAUCUGAUACUGGUGAGCUAGAGUUUGAGAGAGGGAAGCAGAAUUUCCGGUGUAGCGGUGAAAUGCAUAGAGAUCGGAAGGAAUACCAGUUGCGAAGGCGGCUUCCUGGCUCAAAACUGACGCUGAGGUACGAAGGCGUGGGUAGCAAACAGGAUUAGAUACCCUGGUAGUCCACGCCCUAAACGAUGUCAACUAGCCGUUGGGUUCAUUAAAGGACUUAGUGGUGCAGCUAACGCAUUAAGUUGACCGCCUGGGAAGUACGGUCGCAAGACUGAAACUCAAAGGAAUUGACGG
This 900-nucleotide ribosomal RNA is filed under the name uncultured Gammaproteobacteria bacterium. Its description in RNAcentral is "bacterial SSU rRNA". It matches the Rfam family "Bacterial small subunit ribosomal RNA", at positions 28 to 916 of the family's 1533-position model. Lineage: Bacteria; Pseudomonadati; Pseudomonadota; Gammaproteobacteria. The record is from RNAcentral.